AUUGAACGCUGGCGGCAUGCCUUACACAUGCAAGUCGAACGGUAACAGGUCUUCUGAUGCUGACGAGUGGCGCACGGGUGAGUAAUACAUCGGAACGUGCCCGAUCGUGGGGGAUAACGAGGCGAAAGCUUUGCUAAUACCGCAUACGAUCUACGGAUGAAAGCGGGGGAUCUUCGGACCUCUCGCGGUCGGAGCGGCCGAUGGCAGAUUAGGUAGUUGGUGGGAUAAAAGCUUACCAAGCCGACGAUCUGUAGCUGGUCUGAGAGGAUGAUCAGCCACACUGGAACUGAGACACGGCCCAGACUCCUACGGGAGGCAGCAGUGGGGAAUUUUGGACAAUGGGCGAAAGCCUGAUCCAGCCAUGCCGCGUGUAGGAUGAAGGCCUUUGGGUUGUAAACUGCUUUUGGACGGAACGAAAAGCAGCUUGCUAAUAAAGAGGGGUCAUGACGGUACCGUAAGAAUAAGCACCGGCUAACUACGUG
Molecule: ribosomal RNA, 482 nt
Filed under: uncultured bacterium
Lineage: Bacteria
Description: partial 16S ribosomal RNA
Rfam family: Bacterial small subunit ribosomal RNA
Source: RNAcentral